This 1372-nucleotide ribosomal RNA is filed under the name uncultured bacterium. Its description in RNAcentral is "bacterial SSU rRNA". It matches the Rfam family "Bacterial small subunit ribosomal RNA", at positions 28 to 1381 of the family's 1533-position model. The record is from RNAcentral.
GAUGAACGCUGGCGGCGUGCCUAAUACAUGCAAGUCGAGCGAACGGACGAGAAGCUUGCUUCUCUGAUGUUAGCGGCGGACGGGUGAGUAACACGUGGAUAACCUACCUAUAAGACUGGGAUAACUUCGGGAAACUGGAGCUAAUACCGGAUAAUAUUUUGAACCGCAUGGUUCAAAAGUAAAAGACGGUCUUGCUGUCACUUAUAGAUGGAUCCGCGCUGCAUUAGCUAGUUGGUAAGGUAACGGCUUACCAAGGCAACGAUGCAUAGCCGACCUGAGAGGGUGAUCGGCCACACUGGAACUGGGACACGGUCCAGACUCCUACGGGAGGCAGCAGUAGGGAAUCUUCCGCAAUGGGCGAAAGCCUGACGGAGCAACGCCGCGUGAGUGAUGAAGGUCUUCGGAUCGUAAAACUCUGUUAUUAGGGAAGAAUAUAUGUGUAAGUAACUGUGCACAUCUUGACGGUACCUAAUCAGAAAGCCACGGCUAACUACGUGCCAGCAGCCGCGGUAAUACGUAGGUGGCAAGCGUUAUCCGGAAUUAUUGGGCGUAAAGCGCGCGUAGGCGGUUUUUUAAGUCUGAUGUGAAAGCCCACGGCUCAACCGUGGAGGGUCAUUGGAAACUGGAAAACUUGAGUGCAGAAGAGGAAAGUGGAAUUCCAUGUGUAGCGGUGAAAUGCGCAGAGAUAUGGAGGAACACCAGUGGCGAAGGCGACUUUCUGGUCUGUAACUGACGCUGAUGUGCGAAAGCGUGGGGAUCAAACAGGAUUAGAUACCCUGGUAGUCCACGCCGUAAACGAUGAGUGCUAAGUGUUAGGGGGUUUCCGCCCCUUAGUGCUGCAGCUAACGCAUUAAGCACUCCGCCUGGGGAGUACGACCGCAAGGUUGAAACUCAAAGGAAUUGACGGGGACCCGCACAAGCGGUGGAGCAUGUGGUUUAAUUCGAAGCAACGCGAAGAACCUUACCAAAUCUUGACAUCCUUUGACAACUCUAGAGAUAGAGCCUUCCCCUUCGGGGGACAAAGUGACAGGUGGUGCAUGGUUGUCGUCAGCUCGUGUCGUGAGAUGCUGGGUUAAGUCCCGCAACGAGCGCAACCCUUAAGCUUAGUUGCCAUCAUUAAGUUGGGCACUCUAAGUUGACUGCCGGUGACAAACCGGAGGAAGGUGGGGAUGACGUCAAAUCAUCAUGCCCCCUAUGAUUUGGGCUACACACGUGCUACAAUGGACAAUACAAAGGGCAGCGAAACCGCGAGGUCAAGCAAAUCCCAUAAAGUUGUUCUCAGUUCGGAUUGUAGUCUGCAACUCGACUACAUGAAGCUGGAAUCGCUAGUAAUCGUAGAUCAGCAUGCUACGGUGAAUACGUUCCCGGGUCU